RNAcentral lists this long non-coding RNA (290 nucleotides) under Hordeum vulgare. RNAcentral describes it as "long non-coding RNA (HVUL_LNC016996)". The record is from RNAcentral. Lineage: Eukaryota; Viridiplantae; Streptophyta; Magnoliopsida; Poales; Poaceae.
CUGAUCUUGCCCUUGGCAACACUUGAUGACGCUCAAAGAAUCUGAUUCCGCUUCUACCCUGUUAAAGCCCAAGGAGUUCACCAAAUGUAAACCAUCUCGCAUUGCCAUUGCUUCAAUCGUGACAACGUCAGCUGCGAAGGGAAUGAAUCUGCAAAACCCUGCAAUAAAGCCACCCUUUUCAUCUCGUAAGAUACCUGCAGUAGAACCCGAUCCUUCAUCUGAAUGGAAUGAAGCAUCCACAUUUAGCUUUAUAAAUCUUGCCUCUGGUCUCUUCCACUUGUGUUCCACCG